UGGGGAUGACGUCAAGUCAUCAUGGCCCUUACGACCAGGGCUACACACGUGCUACAAUGGCGCAUACAAAGAGAAGCGACCUCGCGAGAGCAAGCGGACCUCAUAAAGUGCGUCGUAGUCCGGAUUGGAGUCUGCAACUCGACUCCAUGAAGUCGGAAUCGCUAGUAAUCGUGGAUCAGAAUGCCACGGUGAAUACGUUCCCGGGCCUUGUACACACCGCCCGUCACACCAUGGGAGUGGGUUGCAAAAGAAGUAGGUAGCUUAACCUUCGGGAGGGCGCUUACCACUUUGUGAUUCAUGACUGGGGUGAAGUCGUAACAAGGUAACCGUAGGGGAACCUGCGGUUGGAUCACCUCCUUACCUGAAAGAA
Molecule: ribosomal RNA, 370 nt
Filed under: Salmonella enterica subsp. enterica serovar Brandenburg
Lineage: Bacteria; Pseudomonadati; Pseudomonadota; Gammaproteobacteria; Enterobacterales; Enterobacteriaceae
Description: bacterial SSU rRNA
Rfam family: Bacterial small subunit ribosomal RNA
Source: RNAcentral